AAACAGACGGUCGCGUGGCCAGGCCGAAAGGCCGGUCAUGAGGAAAGUCCGGGCUCCACAGGGCAAGGAUAACGGGUAACGCCCGCCCAGAGCGAUCUGAGGAAAAGUGCAACAGAGAUAUACCGCCCGUGAGAUUUUAUCUCACGAGCAAGGGUGGAAAGGUGCGGUAAGAGCGCACCCGACGGCUGGGAACAGUCCGUCGCUGUAAACUCUAUUCGGAGCAACACCGGUAUGGGAGCGUAUAGGCUGGCCCGGCCGCUCCCGGGGUGGCUUGAGCGUGCCGGCAACGGUACGCCUAGAUAGAUGACCGUCCGAUACAGAACCCGGCUUACAGUUUUGCUC
Molecule: RNase P RNA, 342 nt
Filed under: uncultured Dysosmobacter sp.
Lineage: Bacteria; Bacillati; Bacillota; Clostridia; Eubacteriales; Oscillospiraceae
Description: Bacterial RNase P class A
Rfam family: Bacterial RNase P class A
About the family: Ribonuclease P (RNase P) is a ubiquitous endoribonuclease, found in archaea, bacteria and eukarya as well as chloroplasts and mitochondria. Its best characterised activity is the generation of mature 5'-ends of tRNAs by cleaving the 5'-leader elements of precursor-tRNAs.
Source: RNAcentral